AUGUCGUUUGUGCCUACAAUGAAUGCAGUUGAGGCCCCUUUCAUGAAUUUUUCCUCUGACCAGGGGAGCAACUCCUUCAGUUGCUCAGACUUCAGCUGGAAGAAUGAUAUCAAGACCCCUGGCAUAACAUCUGUGCUUGCAUCCAUUCCCACCUCAACAGAGGUCAAUGAAUCUGCAUUUCUCCAGAACAAUGGCAUUAAUUCAACAGUACCUCCUGUGAUGGGUGAUGCUAUUGUUGAUCUUGCCGACUUGGAGCCAUACAUGAAGUUCCUGAUGGACGAUGGUUCAGAACAGUCAAUUGACAGCAUUCUAAGCUGUGAUGUACCCCAGGACGUGGUCGGCAACAUGGACCUUUGGUCCUUCGAUGACAUGCCCUUGUCUGCUGGUUUUUACUGA
RNAcentral lists this ribosomal RNA (396 nucleotides) under Triticum aestivum (bread wheat). RNAcentral's name for it is "partial small subunit ribosomal RNA". The record is from RNAcentral. Lineage: Eukaryota; Viridiplantae; Streptophyta; Magnoliopsida; Poales; Poaceae.